This is a non-coding RNA of Cordylochernes scorpioides, 67 nucleotides long. The record is from the annotation of a GenBank genome assembly. Lineage: Eukaryota; Metazoa; Arthropoda; Arachnida; Pseudoscorpiones; Chernetidae.
UCCAGGGUAGCCUAGUGGACAUGGCGGAACAGCGGAACACUGUGGGUUUGAAUCCCAUCCCUGGUAA